This 394-nucleotide ribosomal RNA is filed under the name uncultured bacterium. RNAcentral's name for it is "partial 16S ribosomal RNA". It matches the Rfam family "Bacterial small subunit ribosomal RNA", at positions 523 to 918 of the family's 1533-position model. The record is from RNAcentral.
AUACGUAGGGAGCGAGCGUUGUCCGGAAUUACUGGGCGUAAAGGGCGCGUAGGCGGCGCUUCAAGUCGUCUGUCAAAUGUGAGGGCUUAACCCUUUUUCGCAGACGAAACUGUGGCGCUGGAGAAGCAGAGAGGCAAACAGAAUUCCUGGUGUAGCGGUGAAAUGCGUAGAUAUCAGGAAGAAUACCAGUGGCGAAGGCGGUUUGCUGGCUGCAUACUGACGCUGAAGCGCGAAAGCCAGGGGAGCAAACGGGAUUAGAUACCCCGGUAGUCCUGGCAGUAAACGAUGUAUGCUGGGUGUGGGAGUAGCGAUACCUCCGUGCCGAAGUUAACGCGAUAAGCAUACCGCCUGGGGAGUACGGUCGCAAGAUUGAAACUCAAAGGAAUUGACGGGG